UAGCGGUGGAAUGCGCAGAUAUCAGGAGGAACACCAAUGGCGAAGGCAGGUNUCUGGGCCAAUACUGACACUGAGGAGCGAAAGNCUGGGGAGCGAACAGGAUUAGAUACCCUGGUAGUCCAGACCGUAAACGGUGGGCACUAGUUGUGGGAACCUUCCACGGUUUCUGCGACGCAGCUAACGCAUUAAGUGCCCCGCCUGGGGAGUACGAUCGCAAGAUUAAAACUCAAAGGAAUUGACGGGGCCCCGCACAAGCAGCGGAGCAUGCGGCUUAAUUCGACGCAACGCGAAGAACCUUACCAAGGCUUGACAUAUAGGGAAAAGUGGCAGAGAUGUCAUGUCCGCAAGGGCUCUAUACAGGUGGUGCAUGGUUGUCGUCAGCUCGUGUCGUGAGAUGUUGGGUUAAGUCCCGCAACGAGCGCAACCCUCGUUCUGUGUUGCCAGCAUUUAGUUGGGGACUCACAGGAGACUGCCGGGGUUAACUCGGAGGAAGGUGGGGAUGACGUCAAAUCAUCAUGCCCCUUAUGUCUUGGGCUGCACGCAUGCUACAAUGGCCGGUACAGAGGGCUGCAAUACCGUAAGGUGGAGCGAAUCCCAAAAAGCCGGUCUCAGUUCGGAUUGAGGUCUGCAACUCGACCUCAUGAAGUUGGAGUUGCUAGUAAUCGUAGAUCAGCAUCGCUACGGUGAAUACGUUCCCGGGGCUUGUACACACCGCCCGUCACGUCACGAAAGUCGGUAACACCCAAAGUCAGUGGCCCAACCGCAAGGGGGGAGCUGCCUAAGGUGGGAUCGGUGAUUGGGACGAAGU
RNAcentral lists this ribosomal RNA (808 nucleotides) under uncultured bacterium. RNAcentral describes it as "bacterial SSU rRNA". It matches the Rfam family "Bacterial small subunit ribosomal RNA", at positions 676 to 1486 of the family's 1533-position model. The record is from RNAcentral.